Molecule: long non-coding RNA, 799 nt
Organism: Mesocricetus auratus (golden hamster)
Lineage: Eukaryota; Metazoa; Chordata; Mammalia; Rodentia; Cricetidae
Exons: 3
Source: RefSeq, a predicted model, not a curated record
CUGAGGAGUCGGGACUUGGGUGUGCAACUGGUCCCCAAUCGUUGUACUUGCCCAUCAGAGGGGCCCACCAAGGACGGUGAAGGUAGAGGGUGCCGCGAAAAGACACAAAGGCUAAACACAGCCACAGGGAAAACGGGAGGAAACCUUUCUGUAAAUCAACCGGGAAGCUUUAAGGACAAUUGAACUGGGGAUGACUUUGUAUGAAAAAGCUGGAGAGACAAAGAAAGGAAAAUUAGGAUCGAAGAGUGGGACAAGGGAAGACUUAAAAGCCCGAAGAAAGCAAACUGCACCCGGAACUAAAAGGAAAACUAAACCAAUAAAGAAAAAAUUGAAAAACAGCAUGCCAGAAUGAACUUGUUCCUGCAACUGCCAACAGAGGGAAGAAAAAAGGGUGGGGGCACCGAACAUACUGGAGGAACCAAAAGUGAUGGAUGGAAGGAAGGGAGAGAAGACUGGACGCAAAUUAAACCAGACACGACAUAUUAUAGGUGCAGCAAGCGGACAAAGACAUCAAUCUUCCAAGACACUAAUGACAUAAAAAAAGAUGUAGGCUGUAAAUGAUGGUUGCCAUUUUCAGGAAAAAAAAACAAUACUAGCACCAUUUCAAACAAGAAAAUAAUAAAGAUGUAUGGUUUCUUAGUGUUUGACAGCUCACAAGUGAGUUCAACUCCAGAUAUCUUUUUCAAGGAAAUCUCCUCAUCAUGGAUGCAUCAGGACUGCUCACAGGUGUCUUAGCCCUGUGCUUCCUCAUCUGUGGCAUGAGUUUUGAGCAAGGCAAACCAUGGCAGCUAUUCUCAGG